This 3538-nucleotide long non-coding RNA is filed under the name Gossypium barbadense (sea-island cotton). Its description in RNAcentral is "long non-coding RNA (GBAR_LNC010398)". The record is from RNAcentral. Lineage: Eukaryota; Viridiplantae; Streptophyta; Magnoliopsida; Malvales; Malvaceae.
ACAAUUCCAAGUAGGUUUGCCUUUGCCGGCUACUCUCUCAAUUCUUUUUUAUCAUUCUUUUUUUUGGGUCUUCAUUAUUUUUUUCUAAAUGACUGAUAGCUUCGAUGCGCCAUUUUUUUGAACUCUUUUUUUGCAGUGAUUGGGUUUAAUGUAGAGACUGUACUGUAACGCCCCUUACCCGAGACCGUUGCCGGAGUCGAGCACAAGGCACUACUAAACUUAUUUGAGCACUUAACCAAAUUUAGAUAAUUUAUAUCAUACUUUUCAGACAAGCUGUCCAACUGCGUCAUAGUUGCUAAAUAAUUCAUAUCUCGAGUUAUAAAACUCGAAACCCAAAUCCGUAAAUUUUCCCCGAAUUUAUACUCAUAUAUCUACUUACCAAUUUUUUUUAUAAUUUUUGGUUGGUCAAAUUAGUACAGUUUAUUAGUUAAAUCCUCCCCUAUUUCAGGGUUUGGCUACUUUGACCCCUGUGCACUACGAACCAAAUUUCUCUCUGUACAAAAUUCAAAUAACCAUGCCGUUUGUUUCUCUUAAAAAUAGACCCAAUGAGGAAUCCAUACAUAUAUAGUAUGACUCAUAAUUAUUUUUGUGAAAUUUUUAAUGAUUUUCUAAAAUCAGAACAGGGGAACUCGAAGUCAUUCAGACUCUGUCUCACCACAAUUUAAAUAUCUCAUAACAUAAAAUCCAAUUGCAUGCACCGUUUCCUCUAUAUGAAACUAGACUCAUUAGGCUUUAAUCUUAUUUUUGUUUCCAGCCCUUAACUCAAUUUCCACAAUUUAUGGUGAAUUUUCAAAGUCAAACUACUGCUACUUACCAAAAACUAUUUUAGUACAAAUAUUGUUAACUAGUUCAUAACAUCUUUACUUCAAUUCAUUCAAAUUCUAUACAUGCCAUAUAAAUCUUUAAACAUAAAAUAAAAACUACCAGAAUUGAUCUGAAUAGUGUGCCCUGUUGUGUUGAUUCGAUCUACCCACUUCACUUCAAGUCAAUCUACAUAAAAAUAUUAAACACACACAAGUAAGCUUAUUGAAGCUUAGUAAGCUCAUAGGCAUAUAAACACAAAUCAUAUCAAAUAUCGUACACAAUCUUAUAUCUAUUAGUUUAACUAUUUCAUCCUCCAAAUUACAAUUUCAUUAAUAACUCAUUGGAAUAAUUUCCAUAUGGCUACUCACAAUUUAACUCCCUUGGGCCCAUUUCUCAUUUACUUCAUUGUCAAUUUAAGGAACAAUAAGGGAAUUGAGUGCUUCAUUAUCACAUUGCCAUAGUAAACUAUGGACUUUCACAUUGUUAUGCAUCACACACCGAAGCCAUAGCCUUGCCAUGGUCUUACACGGUUCACAUAUCAUACCGAAGCCAUAUCCCAGACAUGGUCUUAUACGGAAUCACAUUAUCACAUUAUACCGAUGCCAUAGCCCAGAUAUGGUCUUAUACGGAGUCACAUUAUCACAUUGCACCGAUGCCAUAGCCCAGCUAUGGUCUUAAACGGGCACACUUAUCACAUAUUUUUCGUCAAUUCAUCAGGGUCACAGAAUAGAAGCAUUCAAAUCCAUUGUUCCUACUAAUUUACACAUUAUUCAUUAGUUAAUGCAAAUUGAUAGUAUUCAUCAACAAUAAAAUACUUUAACAAUCAUAAGAUUUUCAUAUCAAAACAUUGAACUUUGCUAUAUGAACUUACCUGGACUAAUUUGCAAAAGUCGUAGAAAUUCAGGGACUAUUCUUAAAUUUUCUCCUUUCCAUGAUUCAGUUCGUUUUCUUGAUCUAUAAUUAUAAAAUCAUUCCUGCAUUAGCAUCCAUUUCAAUUCUAUUUCACUUCACAAUUUAUACUGUUCAAAUUUCGAAAUUGCACUUUUACCCCAAAAUUUACAGUUUUCACAAUUUAGUCCCUGCUCAAUUCACCCAUCAAUUGAACUAAUUUUUCUCAAUUAACACUUUAUUUUAUCAUUAUAAACUAUUUCAAAACCUUUUAUAUUCUUAAUUUCAACAGAAACCUUCAAUUCACAACUUUUUCACAAUUAGGUUCUAAAUAUCAUUUCCUAUCAAAAUCACUUAAUAAAACCACCUUAAUAUGAAAUUAGAACUUAAAUUUCAUAAUAAUUCAUCAUAAAAUUCCCUUAUCCAUCCAGGGUAACUUCCAAUUUCACCCAUAAAAUCAAAAACUAAUGAAUUCUACAAGUGGACCUAAUUGUAAAAGUCAUAAAAACAUAAAAAUUAUCAAGAAAAGUAAGAAUUAAACUCACAUGAUGUAAAAAUAUGAAAAACCAGCUUUCUCCAGACCUUCUAUGGCGUUUUGGCUGAGAAAAUAUGAAGAAAUGUCUAGAUUUUUCAAUUACAUCAUUAUUUAACUAUUAAUUUUUAUGCUAUUUCCAAUUUUGCCCCUUGUUCACAUUGUUUUCUUGCUUAUUUCAUACCCAAACCGUCCAGCCAUUAACAUUUGGGUCUAAUUGCUCUUUAAAUCCAUCUUUUUAAAUACUUAAGCUAUUUCUCACAAUUUAACAAAUUUUGCGCUAUUUUCAAUUUAGUCCUUUUUAAUUAAUUAGCCAUCCAAACGUUAAAAUUUUAUAACGAAACUUUAAUACUAACUCAAUGACACUCCAUAAAUAUUUAUAAAAAUAUUUAUAACUCAAUUUUAAACUUUGAGGUCUCGAUACCUUAUUUUUUACCCGUUUGACCUAAUAAAUUCUUUUAAUUCACUAAUUUCACCAUUUCACAAAUUCUUCUAAAUUCUUACUUGACUCAUAAAUAUUAAAUUACUAUCUUGUUCAAUCUUAUUUGUCAAAUUUAGUGAUCUCAAAUCACCAUUUCUGACACCACUGAAAAUUAGGCCGUUACAUGUACAAUACAACAAUAUCAAGUUUCAAGUAUGGGAUUUAGAUAAGUUAAUGUUAACAAAUCUGAAAUAGCGGCUAAUGUAGUUUAUACAAAUGGAGUUCAAUUUAAUUUAUCGAAUCACUGGAAUUUGCCUUAAUCCUUUUACUUAAAAUUGAAUCAUUGAAUUUCAUUUUUGAUCCUAUAUUUAUCUGGUUGGCCUGCUUGCUUUGGCAUUUGCCACAAGGCCUUUGGGAAUUUUAGUUACAGUUUGAACUGUAUGAGAUUAUAUCAACAAAAAUUUUUGUGGCUUGAAUUUACAGAGAAAUUGUUUCAAUUGUUGAGUUUAAACAUGUAGCUCCACUUUUCUUAUCAGCAGUGAGAUAUUAUAAAGUUGUAACAUUCAUUUAACUCUUUGUUCUAGUUUAAAUCAAAUGUAGUUUUGUUUUUUGCAGGUGGUCAGACAAGCAUUAGGUACUUGUUUUUAAGCUAUGUGUUCUCAAGGAAACAUCCCAAUACUUUUGGUACAGAUGAGAUUUUCAAUUGAUUUGUUAAAGUAGCUUUAACUGUUGUGGUGUGUCUUCUAACUAAUGGAGAUGCAACCUCUAAUUUACUUUGCUUCCUCUAUUUAUUUAAUUCUGAUAUGGGGAUAUCUUGUGGGUUUUUCUGGCUGCUCUUUAGCUGGACAAUAAGGUGAGAUAAAAGAAGAUUCAUCAUUUUUCAUUUAUUUACA